This 1475-nucleotide ribosomal RNA is filed under the name Salmonella enterica. RNAcentral describes it as "bacterial SSU rRNA". It matches the Rfam family "Bacterial small subunit ribosomal RNA". Lineage: Bacteria; Pseudomonadati; Pseudomonadota; Gammaproteobacteria; Enterobacterales; Enterobacteriaceae. The record is from RNAcentral.
AGCAGCUUGCUGCUUUGCUGACGAGUGGCGGACGGGUGAGUAAUGUCUGGGAAACUGCCUGAUGGAGGGGGAUAACUACUGGAAACGGUGGCUAAUACCGCAUAACGUCGCAAGACCAAAGAGGGGGACCUUCGGGCCUCUUGCCAUCAGAUGUGCCCAGAUGGGAUUAGCUAGUUGGUGAGGUAACGGCUCACCAAGGCGACGAUCCCUAGCUGGUCUGAGAGGAUGACCAGCCACACUGGAACUGAGACACGGUCCAGACUCCUACGGGAGGCAGCAGUGGGGAAUAUUGCACAAUGGGCGCAAGCCUGAUGCAGCCAUGCCGCGUGUAUGAAGAAGGCCUUCGGGUUGUAAAGUACUUUCAGCGGGGAGGAAGGUGUUGUGGUUAAUAACCGCAGCAAUUGACGUUACCCGCAGAAGAAGCACCGGCUAACUCCGUGCCAGCAGCCGCGGUAAUACGGAGGGUGCAAGCGUUAAUCGGAAUUACUGGGCGUAAAGCGCACGCAGGCGGUCUGUCAAGUCGGAUGUGAAAUCCCCGGGCUCAACCUGGGAACUGCAUUCGAAACUGGCAGGCUUGAGUCUUGUAGAGGGGGGUAGAAUUCCAGGUGUAGCGGUGAAAUGCGUAGAGAUCUGGAGGAAUACCGGUGGCGAAGGCGGCCCCCUGGACAAAGACUGACGCUCAGGUGCGAAAGCGUGGGGAGCAAACAGGAUUAGAUACCCUGGUAGUCCACGCCGUAAACGAUGUCUACUUGGAGGUUGUGCCCUUGAGGCGUGGCUUCCGGAGCUAACGCGUUAAGUAGACCGCCUGGGGAGUACGGCCGCAAGGUUAAAACUCAAAUGAAUUGACGGGGGCCCGCACAAGCGGUGGAGCAUGUGGUUUAAUUCGAUGCAACGCGAAGAACCUUACCUGGUCUUGACAUCCACAGAAGAAUCCAGAGAUGGAUUUGUGCCUUCGGGAACUGUGAGACAGGUGCUGCAUGGCUGUCGUCAGCUCGUGUUGUGAAAUGUUGGGUUAAGUCCCGCAACGAGCGCAACCCUUAUCCUUUGUUGCCAGCGGUCCGGCCGGGAACUCAAAGGAGACUGCCAGUGAUAAACUGGAGGAAGGUGGGGAUGACGUCAAGUCAUCAUGGCCCUUACGACCAGGGCUACACACGUGCUACAAUGGCGCAUACAAAGAGAAGCGACCUCGCGAGAGCAAGCGGACCUCAUAAAGUGCGUCGUAGUCCGGAUUGGAGUCUGCAACUCGACUCCAUGAAGUCGGAAUCGCUAGUAAUCGUGGAUCAGAAUGCCACGGUGAAUACGUUCCCGGGCCUUGUACACACCGCCCGUCACACCAUGGGAGUGGGUUGCAAAAGAAGUAGGUAGCUUAACCUUCGGGAGGGCGCUUACCACUUUGUGAUUCAUGACUGGGGUGAAGUCGUAACAAGGUAACCGUAGGGGAACCUGCGGUUGGAUCACCUCCUUACCUUAAAGAA